GGCCAGACUCCUACGGGAGGCAGCAGUGGGGAAUAUUGCACAAUGGGGGAAACCCUGAUGCAGCGACGCCGCGUGAGCGAUGAAGUAUUUCGGUAUGUAAAGCUCUAUCAGCAGGGAAGAAAAUGACGGUACCUGACUAAGAAGCCCCGGCUAACUACGUGCCAGCAGCCGCGGUAAUACGUAGGGGGCAAGCGUUAUCCGGAUUUACUGGGUGUGAAGGGAGCGUAGACGGUCCUGCAAGCCAGAUGUGAAAGCCCGGGGCGCAACCCCGGGACUGCAUUUGGAACUGUAAGGCUAGAGUGUCGGAGAGGCAGGCGGAAUUCCUAGUGUAGCGGUGAAAUGCGUAGAUAUCAGGAGGAACGCCGGCGGCGAAGGCGGCCUGCUGGACCGUGACUGACGUUGAGGCUCGAGAGCGUGGGGAGCAAACAGGAUUAGAUACCCGAGUAU
This 447-nucleotide ribosomal RNA is filed under the name uncultured bacterium. RNAcentral's name for it is "bacterial SSU rRNA". It matches the Rfam family "Bacterial small subunit ribosomal RNA", at positions 329 to 793 of the family's 1533-position model. The record is from RNAcentral.